AACGAACGCUGGCGGCAUGCCUAACACAUGCAAGUCGAACGAGACCUUCGGGUCUAGUGGCGCACGGGUGCGUAACGCGUGGGAACCUGCCCUUAGGUUCGGAAUAACUCCCCGAAAGGGGUGCUAAUACCGGAUAGUGUCUUCGGACCAAAGAUUUAUCGCCUUUGGAUGGGCCCGCGUUGGAUUAGCUAGUUGGUAGGGUAAAAGCCUACCAAGGCGACGAUCCAUAGCUGGUCUGAGAGGAUGAUCAGCCACACUGGGACUGAGACACGGCCCAGACUCCUACGGGAGGCAGCAGUGGGGAAUAUUGGACAAUGGGCGAAAGCCUGAACCAGCAAUGCCGCGUGAGUGAUGAAGGCCGUAGGGUUGUAAAGCUCUUUUACCCGGGAUGAUAAUGACAGUACCGGGAGAAUAAGCUCCGGCUAACUCCGUG
RNAcentral lists this ribosomal RNA (433 nucleotides) under uncultured bacterium. RNAcentral describes it as "partial 16S ribosomal RNA". It matches the Rfam family "Bacterial small subunit ribosomal RNA", at positions 29 to 507 of the family's 1533-position model. The record is from RNAcentral.